AGAGACUCUCCGACUGAACACAUCACUACAUUAGGUCAUGUUUAACUUCAAUCACUGAUCAAAAUCAUGUCAAGGAUUAAAAACUGAUUCAAAUAAUCAAUAAUAAAGUCACCAACAGAAUAUAUUUAGAUCUUUACUGGAACGGAUGAAGACAGAAAACGACUCGCUUCAACAUGUAGCAGAACUGUGUUCACCAUGACCUCAGUUUACUGUCUCGCUGUCAUCUGAAGAUCCCCAUAAAACUGUGUAAUAUUUAGCGUUCGAUUAUAUUUCUUUAUUUAUUAAUAAUUCCUUUUUUUUUGUUUAAACCUCAAGAUUUUCUGCUUCCUUUUAGACAAGAACAUGUUUGUGGUUGUCAGCAUCAGUGGAUGAAAAUACACAUAACUACAGCUGCGCCACAGGAAGGUGAAAUCUCAGUGCUGAGCUGAAGAUCAGGAAAAACAUCACCACAAACUUUCAAAUCAACAGAAAGGUGUAAUUCAGAAAUAUCUCCACAGGAGGGCAACAUGUUUAAGCUCAUUCAAAUAGAUUUGCAGUGGUGCAAUUCAGCAAAAUCACCACACGAGAGCGAAUAUUUUAAAUUAAUCAAAUUCGCAGCGCUGCAAUUCAGAAAUAUCUUCACAGGAGGGAGAAACUCAGUAUUUUAAAACAGCAGCAGUGCAGUUCACAAAAAUCCCCACAAGAGGGCGAAUAUUUUAAAUUCAGUAAAUUCAAGAUUUGCAAAAGUGUAGUUCAGAGAAAUCUCCACAGGAGGGCGCAAUAUUUCCUACAUAUGUAAUAUUUGUAUAUUUGUCUAUUAUUAGCUCAGAUAUUCAGUGUGUGUAAUAAUGUGUGUAUCGACUCUACAGGAUCAGUGACGUGUUGUGGACUGUAAACCUGUUGAACAGAAGCAGAGACGUGUGGACAGACACUGACUGUACUAAUGAUGAUCAUCUGCUGCUGCACAGGCUGUAAAGUAUAACCCCUGCUGGACACGGCUCCGGAAGCUCCAGGGGGAGACCGAACUGGUAUCCCCCCUUCUUCAGGCGCGCCUCACACUCACUCACCAUUCACACAUAUCGCAGAGUUCUGGCUGGGACCGAUACCAGCAACCCCUGAAGCCGUGGGGCAGUGCUCUUACCACAGAGCCACAGAUCUCCUGUCUGAGCACCUGCUGGAACUGAUGUUGGACUGCUGACCUGUGUGUGAGCUGAUUCAAUAAAACAAGAAUAUAUGUCAGAUCUGAACCCUUGUCUUUAUGAGUCUCUUCCUCAGAGAACUUGUGUUUAUUCACUCAUCAACCAUCAUUAGUUUCACAUCAGCGUCCAUCAUCUUGAUGAACAUAAUGAACUCAGUGGGACAUUAGCCACGAUGAGGUUUGAACCCGGGUCUCCUAGAUUAAAGCUCAAUACUUUAAGACCUGAGCCACUGAGUCUGGACAGCGAAGGAGAGGUCAGAUCGGGGCUUUAUCACUAUUCUCAUACCGACCAAGGUUUGACACAUGUUUCUUUGUGAUUUGGGCCACAAAAAACCUUUUGGCAAAUGUCAAACCCUGUGGCUCAAAGGAUGAGCGUUCGCCUGCUAUUUAGAAGUGUGAAGGAUCGAAUCUCAUUUCUACCGAAUCGAGAUACAAGUCAGAUUUGAACUCUUGUCUUUAUGAGUCUCUUCCUCAGAGAACUUGUGUUUAUUCACCCAUCAUGGGUUUGGUUCCAUCAUCAGGGGCUCCUGGUCAGUAUAAUGAGGUCAAGAUGGACAUUAGCCAUAGUGAGGUUUGAACCCGGGUCUCCUUGAUUAAAGAUCAAUAGUUUAUGACUUGAGCCACUGAGUCUAGAUGGUGAACAAUGUGUCUGAAUGAGGCUUUAUCACUGUUUUCAUCAUGAACAAGGUUUGACAAAUAUUUCUUUGUAAUUUGGCUCACAAAACAACGACUGCCUGAUGUCAAGCCCUGUGGUUCAGUGGAUAAGACUCCGCCUGACAUACAGGAGACAUGGGUUCAAAUCCCACUAUUGCUUACUUUACUUUCGGUUGCUGGAAUUCAAUCAAACAGUGUGGCCCAAACAGCAGCUGACAGACUGAAAGCCAUGAUGGGCUAGUGGAUGAACACAAGAUUGCGGUGGACAAGGUAACGACAGAGGCCUGGGUACGAAACCCACCUCGAUGUCUGGCUCACACCGCUGCAAGUGCAAGGUAAUUAGAGUGGGAACACACACAUAAAAUUACUUUGUUGUUUUUCUGAUUAUCUCAGCAGUAAAAAGCAGCAGCAGUGCUUGGAUUUGAACCCAGGUAUGCUGUGACAGCUUCAGAUGUCAUGCUGUGUGCUCUGACCACUUCACCAUCACCACACACAUAAACCCACAUUUCUUUCUCCAAUGGGAGGAUAACCACAUUCUACACAUUUUGAAAAAAAAAAACUAAAUAAACACAAAUAAUUCAUAUCAAAUGUAAAUUAUUUUAAAUAAAUGUAAACUGCAUCAUAUGCAAAUAUAUUAUUAUAUUUCACUAUUCAAAAUGUGACAAACAUGCUUAUUCUUCAAUCAGACACAUGAACAUGUUUCAAAUUAUCUUACAGCUGCUUGUGGGGCUUUAAAUGUCACUAAACACAAUUAAACACUGUAAAUAUCAUCAUUUACCUCUAAAGUCUCCUCAUACUGUACUGAUGACUCUACACCAAAUCUGGCCAAUCACAUGCUUUCUACAGAAAGUCCCUCCCCCAACAUACACGCGACAGAGCAGCAGCACAACAAACACACUUUCUGGACUCUCUACUGGAAAUAUGAGCUCAUAAAUACCUUUACUGGAGCUGUGAAUCCGCCUGGAUGUGGAGGAGUGUGUGGAGGAGCAUCAGAAAGAGGAAAGAUGUGCAGCAGAAACACAACAGACACACGUGUGUAUCUUCACUGCUGCAGAGGAGAGAGAGCAAUGCCUGAACACAAACACUACAACAACAUCACUACAAACAAACCCAUGAAAGAAAGUCACUUACAGGAUCAGUGAAGUGUUGUGGACUGUAAGCCUGUUGAACA
Danio rerio (zebrafish) is the source of this 3002-nucleotide non-coding RNA. NCBI's taxonomy places the organism in Eukaryota, Metazoa, Chordata, Actinopteri, Cypriniformes, Danionidae. The record is from RefSeq and is a predicted model, not a curated record.